Molecule: RNA transcript, 3606 nt
Organism: Rhinopithecus roxellana (golden snub-nosed monkey)
Lineage: Eukaryota; Metazoa; Chordata; Mammalia; Primates; Cercopithecidae
Gene name: DEP domain-containing protein 1A pseudogene
Exons: 1
Source: RefSeq, a predicted model, not a curated record
UGUUUUAAAAAUAUUUAAAAAUAAAAGUUGACUCUAUAAGGAGUAUUGUGAAAUAGAGCUGUUGUGAAAUAAAGCAGAAGGAAUGGUAAAGAAUGACUAAAACUGAAAAGAGGCUGUUGAGUUUUGAAAUUAAGAGAUAUUUGGUGAUCUUAGUAAAAGCAAUUUCAGUGGACUGGUAAGGGAUAGAAAAAUGAUUGUAAUCAACUGAGGUGAAUAAAAAAGUUAAGAUGAAGAGUAUAAACUAUUUUAAAGGGAUUUGGAGGGAGUAUAAACAGGAAUAAAACUUGGAAGAGCAUUUUGGCAAUAUCUGAAAAGGGUGAAAAUUCACAUACCUUGUGACCUGUUAACUCUGUUUUUAGGUAUAACCAACAGCAGUGUUUCCCAAGGUAUGGUACAGGCCCAACUUUAUCAGGAUCCCUUUAAAAAAAUGCUUUAGCAGUUGCUAUUCAAAUUGGCGGCGGGGCUGAUGGUUGUGCUGAGACUCGUCACUGCCCAGGCUGCUGGGCCUGAGUGUUGCCUUCACCGCCAUGGACACCACUGGGUGCUGACAGACCUAUGGAGAGUCUGGGUGUGCCUCUUGGGCCUUAUCGGGCCACCAAGCUGGAAUACACUUCAGGCAGGCAUGUGUUAUUAGUCCUACUUUACCAGUGUGGACACUGAGGCUCACAGACGUUAGAUGCCUUCUAAAGUCACAUCUACAGCAAGUGGCAGAGCUAGAAUUCAGAUCUUCCUGGUAUGGCAAUCUUAAAUGGAUUCUGCUACUUAUGGAAUGAAGUUACCACAUCUUUUCGAGCAUGAAUGCCUCUAAGAAAACAUAGGCAACACUUAAAAAAAUAUGGCAAUUGUUUCACAGCAGGAGAAGCAGUGGAUUGACUUUAUGACCUAUUAAGAAAUAAUAGCAAUUGUAGUCCCAAAGUUACAAGGCAACAGACUAUCCAACUGUUGAGGAUAUUUCUUAAGAAUCAUGUAAUUGAAAAUAUCAAAGGCAGGUGGGGAUCAGAAAAUGUUGAUGAUAAUAACCAGCUCUUCAGAUUUCCUGCUACUUCGCCACUUAAAACUCUACCAUGAAGGCAUCCAGAAUUGAGAAAAAACAACAUAGAGAACUUUUCCAAAGAUAAAGAUAGUAUUUUUAAAUGAUGAGACUGAUCUCGUAGAACUCCUAAAAAGCAUGGAAUACAUUUAUCUCAGGAAAACACUGAGAAAAUAAAGCAUGAAAUAAUCAAUGAAGAUCAAGAAAAUGCAGUUGGUAAUAGAGAACUAAGCCAGGAAGAUGUUGAAGAAAUUUCGAGAUAUGUUGUUCUGAUCUACCUGCAAACCAUUUUAGCUGUGCCAUCCCUAGAAGAAGUCAUAAAUCCAAAACAAGUAAUUCCCCAAUAUACAAUGUACAACAUGGCCAAUACAAGUAAACAUGGGGUAGUCAUACUACAAAACAAAUCAGAUGACCUCCCUCACUGGGGAUUAUCUGUCAGGAGGCCUGGCAGAUUGGCCAAGAACUCAUGAUAUGAAUAAUUCAACUUACAUUGGAUUUGAACAAGAUGUAUUCAGAACAAUCACAGAUUAUUUUCUAGAUCUCCCUGAACCUCUACUUACUUUUGAAUAUUACAGAUUAUCUGUGAACAUUUUGGUUAUUUGUGGCUAUGUCAUAGUUUCAGAUAGAUCCAGUGGGAUACAUAGAAUCCAAGAUGAUCCAGUCUUAAAAAUUCCUUCACUUAAACAAUUUGAAUUCCUUCAGAUCAACUGAGUACCUUCUUCUCAGUCUACUUCAUAGAGAAAAAAGAAGAAUCAGAUUAUUCUGAGAGACUACAGAUAAGCAAUCCAGGAUUUCAAGAAAGAUGUGCUAAGAAAAUGCAGCUAGUUAAUUUAAGAAACAGAAGAGUGAGUGCUAAUGACAUAAUGGGAGGAAGUUGUCAUAAUUUAAUAGGGUUAAGUGGUAUGCAUGAUCUAUCCUUUAACAGCAAACCAAGCUGUUGUUCUUUGGAAGGUAUUGUAGAUGUGUCAGGGAAUUCAAGUAAAGAGGCAUCCAGUGUGUUUCAUCUAUCUUUUCCAAACAGAAGGACAAAAUAAUAAACUGUUUUUAGAGUCUAAGCCCAAAGAGGAAUUCCUGUUGAAUCUUCAUUCAGAGAAAAAUACUCAAAAGCCAUUCUGUGCUGGUUUUAAGAGAACCACUACUUUGACUGCUCAAGACCAAGAGAACUUGUGUAAUGGGAAAUGCAAGUCAAAACAGCUUUGUAGGUCUCAGAAGCAGUACAAGAAGGAAUAGUUAUAUCAAUACACCAGUGGCUGAAAUUAUCAUGAAACCAAAUGUUGGACAAGGCAGCACAAGUGUGCAAACAGCUAUGGAAAGUGAACUCAGUCUAGUGCCACAAUCAAUAAAAGACUCUGCAAAAGUUCAAUAGAAUUUUCAGAAAAUUCUUUACUUCCAGCUUCUUCUGUGUUGACUGGCACACAGAGUUUCCUGCAACCUCAAUUAGAGAGGGUUGCCAUCGAUGCUGUACAGUUAUGUUGUUUGUUACUUCCCCCACCAAAUUGUAGAAAGCUUCAACUUUUAAUGCAUAUGAUUUCCCAAAUGAGUCAAAAUGUUGAUAUGCCCAAACUUCAUGAUGCAUUGGGCACGAGAUCACUGAGGAUACAUACCUUUUCUUGGUGUGUGCUAUGCUGUGCUGAAGAAGUGGAUCUUGAUGAGCUUCUUGCUGGAAGAUUAGUUUCUUUCUUAACAGAUCAUCAUCAGGAAAGUCUUCAAGUACCCUCUUACAGACUGCAGCGGAAAAACAUCUUGACUACUUACUUAAGAAAGGGACAUAUUGAAAAUCCUGGAGAUGGACUGUUUGUUUCUUUGCCAACUUACUCAUACUGUAAGCAGAUUAGUGCUCGGGACUUUGAUGAGCAAAAAGUUUCUACCUCUCAAGCUGCAAUUGCAGAACUUUUAGAAAAUAUUAUUAAAGACAAGAGUUUACCUCUAGAGGAGAAAAGAAAAAAGCUAAAACAGUUUCAGAAUGAAUAUCCCUUGAUAUAUCAGAAAAGAUUUCCAACCACGGAGAGUGAAACAGCACUUUUUGGUGACGAACCUACAAUCAAGCAACCAAUGCUGAUUUUAAGAAAACCAAAGUUCCGUAGUCUAAGGUACUAACUGAAUUAAAAAUCAUGUAAUAGUUGUGGAACUUUUAUAAAUGAAACCAUAUCUGAGAAUGUAGCUAAUGGAAAGGAAGUCUGUUAUUAAUAAAGUAUUUCUAAAUAAACACAUUAUGUAAGGAAGUACCAAAAUCGUUGUUUAUCAAUGUGAGACUCCUAGGAAACUAACUAGAUCUCAACUGAGAGCACAUAACAAUAGGUGAUACCAAAUACUUUUUGUUUUUACCACAGCUAUCCAGUAAGGCUAUCAUGAUGUGUACUAAAAUUUUAUUUACUUGAAUUUUGAAACCUGAGCUGUGUUCAUCAAGAUUAAACUGUAAUUCUGUUUUUAAAAGAAAAUUUAUCUGCAUAUGUGCAAGUUCUGAGAUAUUAGCUAAUGAAUUGGUUAUUUGGGGUUACUUCUUUGUUUCUAAGUAUAAGAAUGUGAAGAAUAUUUGAAAACUCAAUGAAAUAAUUCUCAGCUGCCAAAUGUUGCAC